CUACGGGUUGCAGCAGUGGGGAAUAUUGCACAAUGGGCGCAAGCCUGAUGCAGCCAUGCCGCGUGUAUGAAGGAGGCCUUCGGGUUGUAAAGUACUUUCAGCGGGGAGGAAGGGAGUAAAGUUAAUACCUUUGCUCAUUGACGUUACCCGCAGAAGAAGCACCGGCUAACUCCGUGCCAGCAGCCGCGGUAAUACGGAGGGUGCAAGCGUUAAUCGGAAUUACUGGGCGUAAAGCGCACGCAGGCGGUUUGUUAAGUCAGAUGUGAAAUCCCCGGGCUCAACCUGGGAACUGCAUCUGAUACUGGCAAGCUUGAGUCUCGUAGAGGGGGGUAGAAUUCCAGGUGUAGCGGUGAAAUGCGUAGAGAUCUGGAGGAAUACCGGUGGCGAAGGCGGCCCCCUGGACGAAGACCGACGCUCAGGUGCGAAAGCGUGGGGAGCAAACAGGAUUAGAUACCCGCGUAGUC
Molecule: ribosomal RNA, 464 nt
Filed under: uncultured bacterium
Lineage: Bacteria
Description: partial 16S ribosomal RNA
Rfam family: Bacterial small subunit ribosomal RNA
Source: RNAcentral